GAGGAUAUCGCUCAGUGGUAGAGCAUGUGCUUAGCAUGCAUGAGGUCCUGGGUUCAACCCCUGGUACUCCCA
Molecule: transfer RNA, 72 nt
Filed under: Camelus bactrianus (Bactrian camel)
Lineage: Eukaryota; Metazoa; Chordata; Mammalia; Artiodactyla; Camelidae
Also listed under: 2 other names
Rfam family: tRNA
About the family: Transfer RNA (tRNA) molecules are approximately 80 nucleotides in length. Their secondary structure includes four short double-helical elements and three loops (D, anti-codon, and T loops). Further hydrogen bonds mediate the characteristic L-shaped molecular structure. tRNAs have two regions of fundamental functional importance: the anti-codon, which is responsible for specific mRNA codon recognition, and the 3' end, to which the tRNAs corresponding amino acid is attached (by aminoacyl-tRNA synthetases). tRNAs cope with the degeneracy of the genetic code in two manners: having more than one tRNA (with a specific anti-codon) for a particular amino acid; and 'wobble' base-pairing, i.e. permitting non-standard base-pairing at the 3rd anti-codon position.
Source: Rfam by way of RNAcentral